Molecule: ribosomal RNA, 767 nt
Filed under: uncultured bacterium
Lineage: Bacteria
Description: bacterial SSU rRNA
Rfam family: Bacterial small subunit ribosomal RNA
Source: RNAcentral
GGCCGAUCGCCUUGAGUUGAUAUGGCUCAGGACGAACGCUGGCGGCGUGCCUAACACAUGCAAGUCGAGCGGGAACCUCAGGAGGGGUAACCCUUCUGAGGGGAGAGCGGCGAACGGGUGAGUAACACGUGGGCAACCUGCCCCGGACUCCGGGAUAACCCAGGGAAACCUGAGCUAAUACCGGAUACUCCGGCGUGAUCGCAUGGUCGCGCCGGGAAAGCUCCGACGGUCCGGGAUGGGCCCGCGGCCUAUCAGCUUGUUGGUGGGGUAACGGCCCACCAAGGCGACGACGGGUAGCUGGUCUGAGAGGACGGCCAGCCACACUGGGACUGAGACACGGCCCAGACUCCUACGGGAGGCAGCAGUGGGGGAUCUUGCGCUAAUGCGCGAAAGCGUGACGCAGCGACGCCGCGUGGGGGAUGAAGGCCCUCGGGUUGUAAACCCCUUUCGGCAGGGACGAAGGGAAACUGACGGUACCUGCAGAAGAAGUCCCGGCUAACUACGUGCCAGCAGCCGCGGUAACACGUAGGGGACGAGCGUUGUUCGGAUUCACUGGGCGUAAAGGGUGCGCAGGUGGGUUGGCAAGUUCGAUGUGAAAGCCCCGGGCUUAACCCGGGAAUGGCAUUGGAAACUGCUGAUCUGGAGGAUCGGAGGGGGGACUGGAAUUCUUGGUGUAGCAGUGAAAUGCGUAGAUAUCAAGAGGAACACCAGUGGCGAAGGCGAGUCCCUGGACGAUACCUGACACUGAGGCACGAAAGCCAAGGGAG